GAUGAAGAACGUAGUGAAAUGCGAUAAGUAAUGUGAAUUGCAGAAUUCAGUGAAUCAUCGAAUCUUUGAACGCACAUUGCGCCCAUUAGUAUUCUAGUGGGCAUGCCUGUUCGAGCGUCAUUUCAACCCUUAAGCCUAGCUUAGUAUUGGGAAUCGACUUUACUGUCGUUCCUCAAAUUCAACGGCGGAUUUAUAGCAAUCUCUGAACGUAGUAAUUUUUUUUCUCGUUUUUGAAAUACUAUAAACCUCAGCCGCUAAACCCCCAAUUUCUUAUGGUUAACCUCGGAUCAGGUAGGAAUACCCGCUGAACUUAAGCAUAUCAAUAAGCGGAGGA
Molecule: unclassified non-coding RNA, 334 nt
Filed under: soil metagenome
Description: partial contains 5.8S ribosomal RNA, internal transcribed spacer 2, and large subunit ribosomal RNA
Rfam family: 5.8S ribosomal RNA (bases 1-120)
Source: RNAcentral